UGAGGAAUAUUGGUCAAUGGACGGAAGUCUGAACCAGCCAAGUCGCGUAAAGGAAGACGGUUCUAUGGAUUGUAAACUUCUUUUGCCUGAGGGUAAAACGCGGUACGUGUACCGCCUUGUAAGUAUCAGGUGAAUAAGCAUCGGCUAACUCCGUGCCAGCAGCCGCGGUAAUACGGAGGAUGCGAGCGUUAUCCGGAUUUAUUGGGUUUAAAGGGUGCGUAGGCGGGAUGUUAAGUCAGCGGUGAAAGUUUGCGGCUCAACCGUAAAAUUGCCGUUGAAACUGGCGUUCUUGGGUGCGUGCGAGGGAGGCGGAAUGCGUUGUGUAGCGGUGAAAUGCAUAGAUAUGACGCAGAACUCCGAUUGCGAAGGCAGCUUUCCGGCACGCCACUGACGCUGAGGCACGAAAGCGUGGGGAUCGAACAGGAUUAGAUACCCUGGUAGU
Molecule: ribosomal RNA, 442 nt
Filed under: uncultured Parabacteroides sp.
Lineage: Bacteria; Pseudomonadati; Bacteroidota; Bacteroidia; Bacteroidales; Tannerellaceae
Description: bacterial SSU rRNA
Rfam family: Bacterial small subunit ribosomal RNA
Source: RNAcentral